Long non-coding RNA from Eptesicus fuscus (big brown bat), 166 nucleotides. RefSeq lists it as uncharacterized. The record is from RefSeq and is a predicted model, not a curated record. Lineage: Eukaryota; Metazoa; Chordata; Mammalia; Chiroptera; Vespertilionidae. The transcript is spliced from 3 exons.
CUGGAGGCAAAGAACCUCUGCUGAGUGGACAAAUAUAAAAACUCUCAACUAGAGCAUAAUACCAGUUGUUGGAAGAUUGGAGGAGUCAAUGGAACUUUUCCAGAGAAAGGCACUUCUAAGCAGAUCUUCUAUAAAAGACAUCUCCAGUAAUCUUCCGUGAUCAUUU